CCCUUAGAUGUUCUGGGCGGCCCGCGCACUACAUUGGCACUGUCAGCAAGGGUCUGAAACUAAAACUUUUGGGUAUUCUGAGAACCGGUGUCGUGACUGGGAUUGACCCUUGCAAUUAUUGGUUAUGAACGAGGAAUUCCUUGUAAUCGCGGUUUAUCAGCCCGCGUUGAAUGCGUCCCUGCCCUUUGUACACACCGCCCGUCGCUCCUACCGAUGAAUCGUCCGGUGAAGUUCAUGGAGUAGUGGUUGUUCCAUCCGCUGUCGAAGUGAAAUAAACCUCAUGAUUUAGAGGAAGGAGAAGUCGUANCA
Molecule: ribosomal RNA, 309 nt
Filed under: uncultured eukaryote
Lineage: Eukaryota
Description: partial 18S ribosomal RNA
Rfam family: Eukaryotic small subunit ribosomal RNA
Source: RNAcentral